UAAAACGUAGGAUGCAAGCGUUAUCCGGAUUUACUGGGCGUAAAGCGCGUGUAGGCGGUUCGGUAAGUUGGAUGUGAAAGCUCCUGGCUUAACUGGGAGAGGUCGUUCAAUACUGCCGAGCUAGAGGAUGGUAGAGGGAGGUGGAAUUCCGAGUGUAGUGGUGAAAUGCGUAGAUAUUCGGAGGAACACCAGUGGCGAAAGCGGCCUCCUGGACCAUUUCUGACGCUCAGACGCGAAAGCUAGGGUAGCAAACGGG
RNAcentral lists this ribosomal RNA (256 nucleotides) under uncultured bacterium. RNAcentral's name for it is "partial 16S ribosomal RNA". It matches the Rfam family "Bacterial small subunit ribosomal RNA", at positions 521 to 776 of the family's 1533-position model. The record is from RNAcentral.